This 446-nucleotide ribosomal RNA is filed under the name uncultured bacterium. RNAcentral describes it as "partial 16S ribosomal RNA". It matches the Rfam family "Bacterial small subunit ribosomal RNA", at positions 338 to 795 of the family's 1533-position model. The record is from RNAcentral.
CCUACGGGGGGCUGCAGUCGAGAAUCAUUCACAAUGGGGGAAACCCUGAUGGUGCGACGCCGCGUGGGGGAAUGAAGGUCUUCGGAUUGUAAACCCCUGUCAUGUGGGAGCAAAUUAACAAGAUAGUACCACAAGAGGAAGAGACGGCUAACUCUGUGCCAGCAGCCGCGGUAAUACAGAGGGCUCAAGCGUUGUUCGGAAUCACUGGGCGUAAGGCGUGCGUAGGCUGUUUCGUAAGUCGUGUGUGAAAGGCGCGGGCUCAACCCGCGGACGGCACAUGAUACUGCGGGACUAGAGUAAUGGAGGGGGAACCGGAAUUCUCGGUGUAGCAGUGAAAUGCGUAGAUAUCGAGAGGAACACUCGUGGCGAAGGCGGGUUCCUGGACAUUAACUGACGCUGAGGCACGAAGGCCAGGGGAGCGAAAGGGAUUAGAUACCCGGGUAGUC